RNAcentral lists this RNase P RNA (376 nucleotides) under Salisediminibacterium halotolerans. Its description in RNAcentral is "Bacterial RNase P class B". It matches the Rfam family "Bacterial RNase P class B". From Rfam's summary of the family: Ribonuclease P (RNase P) is a ubiquitous endoribonuclease, found in archaea, bacteria and eukarya as well as chloroplasts and mitochondria. Its best characterised activity is the generation of mature 5'-ends of tRNAs by cleaving the 5'-leader elements of precursor-tRNAs. The record is from RNAcentral. Lineage: Bacteria; Bacillati; Bacillota; Bacilli; Caryophanales; Bacillaceae.
GUGUUCGGGUGAUCGCUGUACAGCCUGGCUGUAUAGAGGAAAGUCCAUGCUCACACAGUCUGAGAUGAUUGUAGUGUUCGCGCCUGACGAAACAAUAAGUCAGGGUAGCUGAUUUUUCAGCUAACGGCAGGAGAAGAACCUACGUGCGUUUGGCGCAUAUGGAUCUUCACCUUGAAAGUGCCACAGUGACGAAGUCUGAUUGGAAACAAUCAGAGUGGAACGAGGUAAACCCCGCGAGUGAGAAACCCAAAACAUGGUAGGGGAACUUCUGCGAAGGAAUUCAACGGAGCAGAAGGCAGCUCUGUAUAAGAGCUGCAGACAGAUGAUUACCGCUUUUUGUGCGCUGCAUAAAAAGAACAGAACAUGGCUUACAGAA